ACAGGAUAAGGACCAGUAUAAAAACCCAAAGAAGGAAUAAAGGUGAGGUAUUUUGGGAAAGAAAGGAGAUGGGUGACUGUAAUGUUUAAGAAGAGAAGUAGAACCUCCUUCAUAUAUUUUCUUGUAUCCUGGAUACAUAAAAGAGCUCAUAAAGGUUCUAAAACGUGGAAGAAAGGGAGACGUUGAAAAUUCUUUGCUCAAUUAAGCUAACUGAAAUCAUUGAACUAAUCAAGGAAUUUUUUUCCCUUUUCAGUUUACAAACUAAAUGUACCUCUGGGUGCUCUCAUGGACUUGAACCCAUGGAUAAUUAGGCCAAAUAUCUAGCAAUCCAUCUCUUCAUUUACAACAAAUUUUAACACCAUGAAGAAAGAGUGAGUUAUUGGAAUAAGUCUUACCAGUGUGACAACAGCAACUGGAUCAGGGACGAUCCUCACAGUUGAACCAAAGGUCGUGGAGAAAACAACUGCAUCACAAGUUGUUACCACUGUGGAAACAACACCUUUACCAACGACUUUCCACACCGAGUACAUAAUCUCCGAGGAACAGAACACAACAGUGAUGAUGUGCACGGACAAGUUCGACAGCAGUAUGGUAACAAUACUGCCAGACCCUGAAGAGCAGAGAGUGAACAUGCUGUCCAUGACUGUGCUGGGUUUGAGAGUCCUACUGGCAAAAGGCAUCGCCUUCAAUACCCUCAUGAGCAUCAAACUGUUUCUUUUCUGAGACAUGGGGAUCGAACCCAAAGAAGAGCAGGAAAGAACAUGAACCAGCAGCACAAGGGGGCUGAACAAGCAGGGCCAGAGCUGCUGACAGAGACCAGCCAGGACACAAGGCAGCACCUUCCCCUGAAGACAUGCAACACUCUGCACUCCUGCCUGGCCAGCUGAUUUACACUCAAGAGUUUUAAGUGCUUUUGCUGUUUCCUCUCCUCUGAACACUGAAGAGAGUGGAUUUAUCCUCAUCCUCAGUAGGUCUCCCCACUCUUCUGGCAUUUCCAUAAAAGUGUCCAACCUGCUUCAGUAGCUUUGAACACUCCAGUGCUCACUGCAGAGAGAUGGCCUUUGAAAAGCACCUUUCCCAGGCAUGUUGUGUUACUGCCUGUGGAACUGGAGCAGCACUGCUGGGGGAAUUCCAGCACAGGAACUGCCAUUUCUAGCUUUGGAUUUAGAUUUAAUAAGAGUGUAUUACAGAUAAGAACAGCUCUGUAGAAUCUGGAGUGAUUUAAUUCAACCAGACAAUGCCAAUUUCUUGAUUCGGCCUGUAUUUCUUCUUCCAAACGUAUUGCACGUCCAUUUUAGGUUCCUGCAGUAGUGACAAAAAUAA
This is a long non-coding RNA of Melospiza melodia melodia, 1323 nucleotides long. RefSeq lists it as uncharacterized. The record is from RefSeq and is a predicted model, not a curated record. The transcript has 4 exons. Lineage: Eukaryota; Metazoa; Chordata; Aves; Passeriformes; Passerellidae.